GGCAGAGGCAGAGGUCGAUGUAGCGGCAGAGGCCGAGGCAGGCAAGGGGGUAAGGCUGAAAAAAGGCAAAAGCCCCCUUCGCUGGCGCACAGACAAACAAGCGAACAAACAUUCAAAUUGACUUUGCGACUCGGAGCAUUUGUCGGGUUUACAAUUUCAAAGAGCAACUCCAGAACCGAGACCUCAACCUCAACCUUUGGAGCUCAAGGACCUCCCAGGCGACAUUUGUAACUUUAGUCUAUUUGUCUGGCAAGGGAACAGAGGCAUGGGCAGGGGCUGGGGCUGCUGCUGGAGCUGGAGCACAAGGACGUUAAGAUGUUUAUGGCUUGUCAAGGAUUAUUGUUAUCACCAGCUAGCCAGGCUUGUCACAUUGAUGUUGGCUGAUGCUGUCUAUCGCUGUGGACAAGCAGAAAUCGGAUGCCUAUUUUUCGGGGCUAAUGGACUUCUUCUGGACUGACAGGAAGAAAGGUUUAUCCAUGAAGGUCAGGUGGGAGCUCGUUCACUUUGCUUAUAUCUGAAUUCCCCACUUUCUAUUGCUAAUAACAACUAUUUAAAAAAUAUAUGUACAUAGGGUAUGGGUCUCUU
Molecule: small RNA, 585 nt
Filed under: Drosophila pseudoobscura pseudoobscura
Lineage: Eukaryota; Metazoa; Arthropoda; Insecta; Diptera; Drosophilidae
Description: GA30952
Source: RNAcentral